RNAcentral lists this ribosomal RNA (1419 nucleotides) under Triticum aestivum (bread wheat). Its description in RNAcentral is "partial small subunit ribosomal RNA". Lineage: Eukaryota; Viridiplantae; Streptophyta; Magnoliopsida; Poales; Poaceae. The record is from RNAcentral.
AUGAAGUAUAUGACAAAUCUCUGUCACCUAUAUACUAAUGGAUGCACAUCAUUGGAGUGCAUGCCUCCAGACCUCGGGCAACUUACUUCUCUUCAGACUCUAACAUAUUUUGUGACGGGCUCUAGUCCUGAUUGUAGUACUAUUAGAGAACUACAGGACUUAAAUCUUGGUGGUGAAUUGGAGCUUUCUUCUCUUGAAUAUGUAACUGAAGAGCAUGCUAAAGCAUCCAAUCUUGGAAAUAAGGAGAAACUCACUCAUUUAUCUCUUAAAUGGAGUGAUCAUACGACUGACGUACUGGACCAGCAUAGGAGUGUGCUUGAUGCUCUUAAACCUCAUGCUAUGCUGGAGUUUCUAGGAAUAUCUUCAUAUGGAGGUACUGGUUUCCCAACAUGGAUGACAAGUCUUACUUUUCUGCAGCAUUUGACUAGGCUCCACCUAGAUGGUUGUACAAUGUGUGAGGAAUUUCCACAAUUCGGCCAAUUUAAGGCUCUUGAAGUUCUUGUUUUAAAAAGGUUGAACAAAUUGCAGAGCCUAUGUAGUCACAAUUCAUCUGCAGCGUUUCCAGCAUUAAAAAAUCUCAGUUUGGAAAAUUUGGAUGCUUUUGAGAGAUGGGCGGCAACCGAAGGAGAGGAAUUAACAUUUCCUAUACUUGACAAUGUUGUAAUUGUGAACUGCCCAAAGCUGACAACUCUACCUGAAGCACCAAAACUCAAAGUUAUAGUGCUAGCAGAAGACAAGGCUCAACUAUCCUUAUUAGUGUUAAGAUCCAAUUACAUGCCUUACUUGUCUGGGUUAUACCUAUCUGUCAGCGAUACAGAAGCAACACCAACACCGAAGCUUGACCAAGAUCAUGAAGUGUCUCUUUCCGUCAUGAAUUUGACUGGUUGCAGCUUUUUGUUCUCAUCAAGUCUAUUGCAGUCAGCAGGUGGGGUCUGGAAAUGGUUUGGUCAGCUUGUGAGGUUGCAUAUUAGUUCUUUUGAUACGCUCAUCUACUGGCCUGCAGAAGAGUUUCGAAGCUUGGUAUCAUUGCAUAGUAUGAUAAUUCGAAAUUGCAGCAAGCUAAUAGGCCCCGCCCAGGUGAAAGGAUGCCGUACUCGAGGUAGGGAUCAAUUCCUGCCAAAUCUAACUGCCCUAUAUAUAGCUGGUUGUGGGAACUUGACAGAGCUUUUCGUUCUUCCCUUGUCCCUCACGACUCUGAACAUUUAUGAGUGUUGUAAUCUUGAGUUCAUACUGGGGCAGGAUGAUAGAGAGUUGGAGAGUCUACAACACUUCGAUACAAUAGCAUCGUUGGAACACUGCGAUGGCCUUGCAUCCGAAAAUAUGCCAGAACAGUCGCCUUCACCCAGAAUUAAUCCUUUUCCAUGUCUCAUGUCUUUAACUAUACAUUACUGUAACAAGAUUCGUUCAGUGCGAACAUAG